GACGAACGCUGGCGGCGUGCUUAACACAUGCAAGUCGAACGGAAAGGCCCUGCUUUUGUGGGGUUAUCGAGUGGCGAACGGGUGAGUAACACGUGAGUAACCUGCCCUUGACUUUGGGAUAACUUCAGGUAACUGGGGCUAAUACCGUAUAGGAGCUCCUGCUGCAUGGUGGGGGUUGGAACGUUUGGGCGGUUGGGGUUGGACUCGCGGCUUAUCAGCUUGUUGGUGGGGUGGUGGAUUGCCAAGCCUUUGGCGGGUAGCCGGACUGAGUGGGUGACAGGCCACACAGGGACUGACAUACGGCCCAGACUGCUACGGGAGGCAGCAGGGGGGAAUAUUGCACAAUGGGCGGAAGCCUGAUGCAGCAACCCCGCGUGCGGGAUGACGGUCUUCUGGUUAUAAAACGCUUUCGCCUGUGACGCAGCGUGAGUGACGGUAACGGGUAAAGAAGCACCGGCUAACUACGUG
Molecule: ribosomal RNA, 468 nt
Filed under: uncultured bacterium
Lineage: Bacteria
Description: partial 16S ribosomal RNA
Rfam family: Bacterial small subunit ribosomal RNA
Source: RNAcentral